This 221-nucleotide long non-coding RNA is filed under the name Lathyrus oleraceus (garden pea). RNAcentral describes it as "Pisum sativum (pea) long non-coding RNA (PSAT_LNC018610)". Lineage: Eukaryota; Viridiplantae; Streptophyta; Magnoliopsida; Fabales; Fabaceae. The record is from RNAcentral.
GAGGAUAUUAUUCUAAGUGAGGAUUUAAUUAUAAAUUUACCAAGAGUAGAUUUUUCUUUUGAGUAAAUAAUUCUUCCUUUGGAAUUUAUUAUUUUGGUUUGGAGUUAAACCAUUUAAAUAGAACUUAUUUGUAUUUAGGAAUUAGUAUUAGUCUAUGUUUAGUUCAUGAGCUCCGCCAUUGAAAAGCUCUUUUUUUGUUCAUGAAGAUCAACUAGUAAAAC